AUGUUUCCUACUAUCCUUCUAGCUCUAAAUCUAUUAAAUCCCUCAAAUUAUACUCUUUUUUUAAAAGCCUUUCUUCAGCCUUUUCUUAUAGAUCUACUGGAUAUUAUUUCCCAUCUUCAACUCUGUGAUCCAGACAAAUUACAUUUCUCUAUUCUUUUUCCACACAGCACUAACUAUAUGUCUAAAUUACACUUCUUCCUCACCUCUGCCUCAGAAUUCCUCCUUAUGACAUACCUUAAAUUCCAUCUUCUACAGGAGUCUUUCCUGAUUUUCCUAAAUGCUAUUGACCUCUCUCCCAAAGGAUCCUUGACUCACAUCAAGAUUCAGGUGCUAUCUCCUAUGAUGGUAGCCCGGAGGACAUGGCAACAGUUCUGUAUGAAAAGAUUAAUGGUCGCCAGAAACAAGUUGCAUUGUCUAGCAAAGACUUGAGUAAUAAUGAGACACCAUAUGUAUGUUGGAGUUCUGGCUUUUGAAUGAUCAAUAAAUAAGAAGUUCAAAAACUAUUUAUAUGUGGC
Molecule: long non-coding RNA, 515 nt
Filed under: Monodelphis domestica (gray short-tailed opossum)
Lineage: Eukaryota; Metazoa; Chordata; Mammalia; Didelphimorphia; Didelphidae
Description: lncRNA (ENSMODG00000046030.1)
Source: RNAcentral